GUGGGGAAUUUUGCGCAAUGGGCGAAAGCCUGACGCAGCAACGCCGCGUGUGUGAUGAAGGUUUUCGGAUCGUAAAGCACUUUCGACCGGGAAGAAACCGGAUUGCCUAACAUGCAAUCCAUUGACGGUACCGGGAGAAGAAGCACCGGCUAACUCUGUGCCAGCAGCCGCGGUAAUACAGAGGGUGCAAGCGUUGUUCGGAAUUAUUGGGCGUAAAGCGCGUGUAGGCGGCUUUGCAAGUCGGGUGUGAAAGCCCUCGGCUCAACCGAGGAAGUGCGCCCGAAACUGCAGAGCUUGAGUACCGGAGAGGAUGGUGGAAUUCCCCAAGUAGAGGUGAAAUUCGUAGAUAUGGGGAGGAACACCGGUGGCGAAGGCGACCAUCUGGACGGAUACUGACGCUGAGACGCGAAAGCGUGGGGAGCAAACAGG
This 429-nucleotide ribosomal RNA is filed under the name uncultured bacterium. RNAcentral describes it as "bacterial SSU rRNA". It matches the Rfam family "Bacterial small subunit ribosomal RNA", at positions 354 to 776 of the family's 1533-position model. The record is from RNAcentral.